CCUACGGGGGGCAGCAGUGGGGAAUAUUGCACAAUGGGCGAAAGCCUGAUGCAGCAACGCCGUGUGAAUGAAGAAGGCCUUAGGGUCGUAAAAUUCUGUCCUAAGGGAAGAAAAAGAUGACGGUACCUUAGGAGGAAGCCCCGGCUAACUACGUGCCAGCAGCCGCGGUAAUACGUAGGGGGCAAGCGUUAUCCGGAAUUAUUGGGCGUAAAGAGUACGUAGGUGGCUAUAUAAGCGCAUGGUGAAAGGCAGAGGCUUAACCACUGUUAGCCUUGCGAACUGUAUAGCUUGAGUGCAGGAGAGGGAAGCGGAAUUCCUAGUGUAGCGGUGAAAUGCGUAGAUAUUAGGAGGAACACCAGUGGCGAAGGCGGCUUUCUGGACUGUAACUGACACUGAGGUACGAAAGCGUGGGGAGCAAACAGGAUUAGAUACCCGGGUAGUC
RNAcentral lists this ribosomal RNA (442 nucleotides) under uncultured Eubacteriales bacterium. RNAcentral describes it as "bacterial SSU rRNA". It matches the Rfam family "Bacterial small subunit ribosomal RNA", at positions 338 to 795 of the family's 1533-position model. The record is from RNAcentral. Lineage: Bacteria; Bacillati; Bacillota; Clostridia; Eubacteriales.